This 92-nucleotide transfer RNA is filed under the name Pseudomonadota bacterium. RNAcentral describes it as "Proteobacteria bacterium (marine metagenome) tRNA-Ser". It matches the Rfam family "tRNA". Rfam says of the family: Transfer RNA (tRNA) molecules are approximately 80 nucleotides in length. Lineage: Bacteria; Pseudomonadati; Pseudomonadota. The record is from RNAcentral.
GGAGGAGUGGCCGAGAGGUUGAAGGCGGCGGUCUUGAAAACCGUUGUCCGCUGUGAGGUGGACCGGGGGUUCGAAUCCCUCCUCCUCCGCCA